UUCUGUCUUUGUCCCCUCCCCUCCCCCACCAAUAAUCAGCAGCAGGGGCUCCGGUGAUUUAACUUGCCUCAAUCCCCUGGAUAACUCUGGAUGAAUGAAAGUUGACCAUGUAUCAAACAUUAACAAGCUGCAGGGCUGGGAGGGUGGAGGUAAGCAAUAGGCCCCGGGUUCAGCCUGGCCUCUUGGCCUCUUGCCCACAGUUCCUUCCCAUGACUCACCUUUCUGUUUAGGUUUGUGCCUCCCUGGCUGGCAAUCAAACACAGUACAGAUUUAGCCUGGGAAGCAAGGCUGUGUGUGAGGCUCUUCUCCACAACUCCUCUCCCCAAACAUGGGGUGCUGAAAACUGUCCACAAAUCAAUACAUCACUGUGAUAAGCUGUCAGGAGCUGGUGAAGUAAGAGUGUUCCAGCGAGCCCAGCUUCUCUCCAAGCAGGAAGGAGUGCCUCUUACAUUUUCACACUUUCCUUCAUCCUUAGGAUGAAAACCCAACAGGCCUGGUACAGAGGAGGGGGCACAAAUGUCUCUUAUGAUCUGCACAAGGGAGCUGCCAGCUGGAAGGGUGGUGCUUGACUGCCUCCAGACCCUCUCUGCCAGGCUUUCUCCUGGGUCAGGUCUGAAUGUCUGUACCCCAUCAACUGAGCAGUCAUGCUUGUCCUUCUUGGAGACAGGACCAGCCUGUUAUCAACCAAUUCCCACCACAUGGCCACAUUCUUACUGCCCAGUGUGAGGCCAGAUGUUCUGAGAUCUGCUUGGGGUGCCAGAUUUCACUGGAGGAAGGAAAUGGCUCAAGGAAAAAGGUGAUGUAUGGAGACUAAUUUGGAAAACAAAUAAAGAACAAUGUUGUAAUAAGAAAUGGCAGGCUUGACGUGACUCUGCUGCGAAAGAAACACUCCAGGGUCUUGCUCAGAGGUGGCUUUGGAGGGCGUGGCUGUGCAUGUUUCCAACUCUCUUGAGUUUGUGUUGGGGGUUCUUAUGCCCCAACCUGUGGCUUAAGGCUGAGGGAUGGUGGAAGUAUCACUCCUUAGUUGGUUCAUGGAGGAGUCCUGGAAGGUGAGCCUUGACACUGGCCCUGACAAAUGGAACUCAGACAGGCUACCAGAUGACCAGGAUGCCAGCCUUUUAGAAAACACACAACAACCGACCCAGCCUGUCAUGGAGCCCUUUCUGCUUUAGCAGGCAUAGCAUCCAGCUCUCCCUCUCCAUUGCGCUAAUGGAGACUUCCUUUCUCUUUAAAUGCAGUUUAUUGGUUAGUCCUUACACACUUGGUUCAGCAAAUGCCACCCAGAUUUUCCUCCCCAGAGAUCACUCUUCUCCACAAGCCAUUCAAUGGGGGUGGAAGCUGCAGCCCACAGACUGAGUUGUGUGCAGUAUUUUCCCCCAAGCUUGCCUCUUUCUCAAGAGGACUGCCAAAUAUGAGCAGGUGGUUUGCUUCCUUGAUGCCAUUGGAUGCUUGAAUUUUAAAAGCAUGAGAUUUAGAUACCGCUUGAUGGAAAAAACAUCAACAGCUAUGUCAUUCACCCUCACCUCUCAGCUGGGACAGUUCAGAUGCAGCUGUGGAAGAGGAUGUUUCUCUAGUUCCGGGAAGCCUGCCUGAGAGCAUUGCACAUGUGCCAGGCACUGGUGGUAAGCAGCUAGAAAGAUAAGUCAGAAAGAAGGAUCCCCAGACAUUCUGGCCCCCGGUUUAAUGUUCCAUCACUGAAGUCAUCCCUGACUGAGCACCCACUGUACACAUGCCAGGCACAGGGAGGAUGUUGGAGGAGACCGUGUGGUGUGCCUGCAUGUGUGGUAUGUGAUGUGAUGAGGGUAUAUAGAAGCAUGUGCAUACAUGGGAUGGUAUGAAAGUGUGUGCAUGUUUGUGAACCCAUGAAUCAAGUAAAAUUAUGUGACUGUGUGUACAUGCAUAGUGGUGUGUUUGACCGCUAGUGACAUGUAUGCAUGCAGGUGGGCGAGAAGAGGGAUGGAGGGGUGAAUCCUGUUCCCAGGGAGCCCAUGGACUUAUGGGAGAGGAGAGAGAUCAACAUCCAACACUCUUUUCCCUUGAUUCCCAAAUCCCCCUUUGACCUUCUUCCUCUCAUCCCCCCCCCUCCUUUGCCUUGAGAAAGACACUGGGAAGGCUUGGAAUUCCUCCCACAAACUCUCAGCAGCUCUACCUGUUCAGAGGGCAAAAUGUUUUCCAGGCCACUGUCAUCCCUCAGUCCAGGUGCAGAGUGUGCCAGGCAGCCUCUGACAGC
Molecule: long non-coding RNA, 2230 nt
Filed under: Cricetulus griseus (Chinese hamster)
Lineage: Eukaryota; Metazoa; Chordata; Mammalia; Rodentia; Cricetidae
Description: lncRNA (ENSCGRG00000025276.1)
Source: RNAcentral